CAGCAGAAAAUGAGAGGGGGACGGGAACUUGUCCAAUGCGAAGCGCGAAAGUCCGCGGCCAUAACUUCGGCGGCUUUCUCGUGUCGCUUCGUUUUUCUUCUUGUCUCAUCGCUACUCUUUGUGCGGGGUCGUGAGACUGAAGGAGCUUCUGCGUCGGAGGCAAAAUGGCACGGACCGCUUCUUGUCCGCAAGGCCCCCAGUGCCGCGAGCAUGUCCGCGUUACGGGACUCUCCAGUUCUCCGGGGAAACGUUUCCGAGCAGCCGUGGCUCUGCAGAGGGGCAGAGCAGUUUGUGCAGACCUACUGCGGACCGUGUGUUGCAGACUCUCAGUGCGCUCCCGGCGCAUUUUGUUGCCCGUAUUUAAAAGUUUGUGUCUCUUCACAAACGGAUCGUUGCUCCAAACCGUUUGCACGCUGUGAUCCCCCACUUCCCGCGUCGAAACCUGAAGAUGUCGACUUCGAUGUUUGGCGGAAACAGUGCCCAUUUGCAGAGUUGGAGACUUGGGUCACCUGCCCACCUCCAGGAUGGGUGCUCGGGGAUGACCUAACUGGAGAAAAACCAGAGAAACCAACGCCACAGCCACCGGGGGACCGCGAACUGCAUCAACCGUAAAAAGAAGUAGCCACUAGGAACUCGACAAGCAUUCGUAGCUCUGCGACCUCGGAGAACCAGCGGACGACGCUCGACUGAACGUGUCAGGGACGCGACGUUUGAGAGUCACAAGAAGAAAAUUCGCUGGUUUCGGCCAAUUUUCUUUUUCAAACACAACCCAGUGUGACUUUCUGCAUCUGCUCUGACGCGUGGAGACACUUUGGUUUUUCAGAUUCUGUCCUCGCCACUGUGGAGCACUGGGGGGCGAGUGUCACUGCUCUGCUGCCGAGAAAAGCCUCGAUUCCGUUCGAUCCGCGAGUUUUGUUUCUCCACCGUUUGCGUUUUCGUAGCAGAUGUACCUCCGUGGCAUCCAGUGACCCGAAUGCAUUGUUGCCCCUCCCAGUGUGCAUUCCGCGCUUUCCUUCGAGCUCAUUUAUACACAGACAAACGGAAUUUACAGUGUAAUCUGGAAUUACGCCUGCGUAGACUUCCGACUCUCGGUGGUGCAACACGAAAGGUUUCGUCUCGUGCGUUUCUGCUCUAAGCUACAGAGUUAGAUUCAUCGUGGCUUUUCUGCGAGUUUUGUUACGCGGCCUUUCUCCCAAUGCGACCCGCCUCCUCUUUUCUCCGUUUCGUCC
RNAcentral lists this long non-coding RNA (1229 nucleotides) under Toxoplasma gondii VEG. The record is from RNAcentral. Lineage: Eukaryota; Apicomplexa; Conoidasida; Eucoccidiorida; Sarcocystidae.